ACAACUGUGAUGCCCUUAGUAAUGGCGAAUGAAACGGGCGGAGCCCAGCGCCGAACCACUCGUUAGGCAUGUGGCGUUUUGGUACGGUCAACAUCGCGCGGAUUUAGUCCACCGGUUCCAAGUCCACCUUGACUGGGGCCACGACCCAUAGAGGGUGAUAGGCCCGUAGGACGGUGGAACGCCGCGCCUUUGUCGUUUCCCUCGAGUCGAGUUGCUUGGGAGUGCAGCUCAAAGCGCCAGGUAAACUCCUGGUAAGGCUAAAUAUGACCCAGAGACCGAUAGCGAACAAGUACCGUGAGGAAAAGUUGAAAAGAACUUUGAAGAGAGAGUUCAAAGUACGUGAAACUGUGCAGUGGUAAACGGAGGGGUCCUCGAAGUUGCCGCCGCGAGGCUCAGGCCCAUGGCGGCGCUCUGCGAAUUGUGGCGCGUCGAUAUCCUCGGCGUCGUCUCGUUUGUGUAUGGGGCGCCGUUGGUGGUCGCAUUCCUCUGCGGUGUCGUGCGACGAACCGCUCGCCGUGCACCGUGAUUCUGGCGAAGCGGUAGUGCCGAUUUUGGUCGGGGCUGCCGUUCCCGGAGUAAUCGGGCUGCGUGGUGGGCGCGUCUAGUGACUAGCGGUCUUCGUAUAGCGAGCAUCCGACUUUGCUGAUGCGGGCCGCUUUUCCGUCGCGAGUAGGUCGGCGGCCCCUCCGACCCGUCUUGAAACACGGACCAAGGAGUCUAACGUGUGUGCGAGUCAUUGGGUGGACUAAACCCAAAGGCGCAGUGAAAGCGAAGGGCGCCCUCGCGGUGCCUGAGGGGCGAUCUCGCCGUCGCGAGGCGGUGGGCGCAGCCCCCUCGCUUCGCAUCAACCUCGCAUUGUGCGGAGCAGAAAGAGCACACCCGUUGGGACCCGAAAGAUGGUGAACUAUGCCUGGCCAGGUUGAAGUCAGGGGAAACCCUGAUGGAGGACCGUAGCGAUUCUGACGUGCAAAUCGAUCGUCGGAGCUGGGUAUAGGGGCGAAAGACUAAUCGAACCAUCUAG
RNAcentral lists this ribosomal RNA (1021 nucleotides) under Enterophilus cercomegalus. Its description in RNAcentral is "eukaryotic LSU rRNA". It matches the Rfam family "Eukaryotic large subunit ribosomal RNA", at positions 65 to 947 of the family's 3401-position model. The record is from RNAcentral. Lineage: Eukaryota; Metazoa; Arthropoda; Copepoda; Poecilostomatoida; Synaptiphilidae.